Diprion similis is the source of this 1087-nucleotide long non-coding RNA. RefSeq lists it as uncharacterized. The record is from RefSeq and is a predicted model, not a curated record. The transcript has 3 exons. NCBI's taxonomy places the organism in Eukaryota, Metazoa, Arthropoda, Insecta, Hymenoptera, Diprionidae.
ACAUGGUGGAGCAGGGCAUGGAGGUGGGCAUGGUGGACCGGCACAUGUAUUUCCACAUGUCCGUUAGUUUGAGGAGAGCUGCCCGACCAGGACCACAAACUGGAUAAAGCUUGGUCAUGCACUCCGGUCGACCCAUGCAAUCGUACAUCAUGCACCGAUCCUGCAGUCCGUUUCGCAGGAUGCACUCACAUCUGUACAUUAUUCCACCGCGAAGUUCGAAGCUCUUGCAUGCCUUGACUGGGCUCUAUGGACGAAAUGUUUAUGGUUUAAAAAAUGCUCGUUCGAAAUCAACUCACACAGCAUGGUGGAUCAUCAGAGACCGGACAAACUGGACAACAAGUUGGUGGCGGACAGGGAGGCUCGUCCCACUCGCAAGGCUUUCUGUAAGAUAAAGCGAUGGUUGGUUGAAUUAGAUGCAUUUACACGAGUAUGGGAGUAUAAUUAGAUAUUCUACUACCGAUGACUUACUUCUGAUCCAUAGAACUGACGAGACAUUUCAGCUGGGCCAGAAGCUCUCGCCGUCGAUCACAAUUUGGGUUUUUCCCGUCACACGGCAUCUUGGCAGGGUUUUUUUUCAGUUCGGAAUUUUACACUUUUUUUCGACUGGUUUGGAAAUAGUUAUUAUCUAUUUCAUUCAGUUAUCCAAUAUUUCAGUUUUUUUUUUUUUCUUUAUGUAUUUAUUAAAUUUUUUUUUUCGUAUGACGCAUUACUUCUUUUGUAAUUUCAUACUCUUACGAAGGACACCUGGUCUACCGAGAAUUUAAACAGUGCAAAGAAACAUAUUGAAAUAAAACUCGGGUGCAGCCGAAAUUUACUGAGAAUUUAACGUUGCUAUUAUCAUAGACGUGAAUAAACUAAUAUGUAUUCAUAUUUUCACCUCAUGCGUCAAUUGAGAAACAAUUCGUACCCCCGGCAACGCAUAUUUCCAUUGUUAUGGAACCCAACAGAAGAGCCAAUCACACGAAGCUUCUUCCCAAGUAACACCUAUCGCUGACCAUUCUCUGUCUACGUAUAAAAUUGAAUAGGAUUGACGUAUUACAAAUCCUUGGUUAUUUUUAAAACAUACGGUACAUCCACUGCACAGAAU